UGGGAGUGAUGACGCAGAUCCCAUGCGCUGUGCGGCGCUCUCAGGAAUCCUCACCGCCUCUGGUCACCUGGGCCCGGACUUGUAGGUGCAUGUGGCCCAGCUAGAUUCGCUUUGAGAAAUACGUGCUGCAGGCGUUGGUGUGGAAUGUCUCAAGUUUGUCUUCAUGUGACCGAACCAGACUUGGGUCCAUUUACCCAUGUGCAGUAAAGCCAUUCUACUGACACCGGGUUGUGGUGAAGGAAAGUGCAGUUUAUUCCACGGUGUCAAGCAAGGAGUCCAGGACAGCCAGAGCUUCAAAGACCUGAACUCCCCAAAGGCUUUCUGGGCAACAUUUUAAAAAACAGCAUGAGGGAGGAGGUUGGAGGAUGUGAUCAGCUCGUGGACAUUCCUCUGACUGGUUGGUGGUGAGGUAGUUGAGAGUCAACGUCAUCAACCUUCUGAUUCCAACCAGGCUGGGGUCUACAUACUGUGGACAACAUACAGUUAAGUUCUUCUGCCUGAUGAGGGUUUCAGGGUCUGCCACAGAGCUCAAGGCCAUGGCUUAUAAUAUUAUCUGUAGCCCUUGAGGAAGAGCUAAAGGUCCUUGACUUUGUUUAAUGGCUAGACUAUUACCGUUUUGUUUUGCUUGACAAUUUGCCUGUCUUUCUGCAUUUUCUCACUUCUCUGAUUAAAUUUAUCC
This is a long non-coding RNA of Bos taurus (domestic cattle), 679 nucleotides long. The record is from Ensembl. NCBI's taxonomy places the organism in Eukaryota, Metazoa, Chordata, Mammalia, Artiodactyla, Bovidae.